UACGGAUGGUGCAAGCGUUAUACGGUAUCACUGGGUUUAAAGGGUGCGUAGGCGGCUAAAUAAGUCAGAGGUGAAAGCUUGCAGCUUAACUGCGAAAUUGCCUUUGAUACUGUAUAGCUUGAAAGGAGCUGAGGUCAGCAGAAUGUGGCAUGUAGCGGUGAAAUGCAUAGAUAUGCCAUAGAAUACCAAUUGCGAAGGCAGCUGGCCGGGCUUACUCUGAAGUUGAGGUACGAAAGCUUGGGGAUCGAACAGG
This 253-nucleotide ribosomal RNA is filed under the name uncultured bacterium. Its description in RNAcentral is "partial 16S ribosomal RNA". It matches the Rfam family "Bacterial small subunit ribosomal RNA", at positions 524 to 776 of the family's 1533-position model. The record is from RNAcentral.